RNAcentral lists this ribosomal RNA (253 nucleotides) under uncultured bacterium. RNAcentral describes it as "partial 16S ribosomal RNA". It matches the Rfam family "Bacterial small subunit ribosomal RNA", at positions 524 to 776 of the family's 1533-position model. The record is from RNAcentral.
UACAGAGGUGGCAAGCGUUGUUCGGAAUUACUGGGCGUAAAGGGCGCGUAGGCGGCCCUCCUAGUCGCGUGUGAAAGCCCCGGGCUCAACCUGGGAAUUGCGCGCGAAACGGGGGGGCUUGAGUUCGGGAGAGGAGCGUGGAAUUCCCAGUGUAGAGGUGAAAUUCGUAGAUAUUGGGAAGAACACCGGUGGCGAAGGCGGCGCUCUGGACCGAGACUGACGCUGAGGUGCGAAAGCGUGGGGAGCAAACAGG